This 307-nucleotide unclassified non-coding RNA is filed under the name uncultured Mastigobasidium. RNAcentral's name for it is "sequence contains ITS2". The stretch from base 1 to 52 matches the Rfam family "5.8S ribosomal RNA", at positions 103 to 154 of the family's 154-position model. Lineage: Eukaryota; Fungi; Basidiomycota; Microbotryomycetes; Leucosporidiales; Leucosporidiaceae. The record is from RNAcentral.
AACGCACCUUGCGCUCCCUGGCAUUCCGGGGAGCAUGUCUGUUUGAGUGUCAUGAACUCUUCAACCCAUCAGUUUCUUGUAAACUGGCUGGUGUUUGGAUUUUGAGCGUUGCUGGAUCUUCGGAUCGAAGCUCGUUCGUAAUACAUUAGCAUCUCUAAUUCGAACUCGGAUUGACUCAGUGUAAUAGACUAUUCGCUGAGGACACGUGCUUGCAUGUGGCCGAAUGAGAUCUCAGUAGAGGCUUCCAACCCUUCUAGUCAACUUUAGAUUAGACCUCAAAUCAGGCAGGAUUACCCGCUGAACUUAA